UACGUAGGGUCCGAGCGUUGUCCGGAAUUAUUGGGCGUAAAGGGCUCGUAGGCGGUCUGUUGCGUCGGGAGUGAAAACUUACAGCUUAACUGUGAGCGUGCUUUCGAUACGGGCAGACUUGAGGCAUUCAGGGGAGAACGGAAUUCCAGGUGUAGCGGUGAAAUGCGUUGAGAUCGGGAGGAACACCAGUGGCGAAGGCGGCACCCUGGCCGAGUUCUGACGCUGAAGCGCGACAGCGUGGGGAGCAAACGGG
This 253-nucleotide ribosomal RNA is filed under the name uncultured bacterium. RNAcentral describes it as "partial 16S ribosomal RNA". It matches the Rfam family "Bacterial small subunit ribosomal RNA", at positions 524 to 776 of the family's 1533-position model. The record is from RNAcentral.